CUACGGGUUGCAGCGGUGAGGAAUAUUGGACAAUGGAGGCAACUCUGAUCCAGCCAUGCCGCGUGCAGGAAGACGGCCCUAUGGGUUGUAAACUGCUUUUAUACAGGAAGAAUGGUACCUACGUGUAGGUAUUUGACGGUACUGUACGAAUAAGGAUCGGCUAACUCCGUGCCAGCAGCCGCGGUAAUACGGAGGAUCCGAGCGUUAUCCGGAAUCAUUGGGUUUAAAGGGUCCGUAGGCGGUUUUUUAAGUCAGAGGUGAAAUCCUGCAGCUCAACUGUAGCAUUGCCUUUGAUACUGAAAGACUUGAGUUAUUGUGAAGUAGUUAGAAUGUGUAGUGUAGCGGUGAAAUGCAUAGAUAUUACACAGAAUACCGAUUGCGAAAGCAGAUUACUAAUAAUAUACUGACGCUCAGGGACGAAAGCGUGGGUAGCGAACAGGAUUAGAUACCCCUGUAGUC
Molecule: ribosomal RNA, 459 nt
Filed under: uncultured bacterium
Lineage: Bacteria
Description: partial 16S ribosomal RNA
Rfam family: Bacterial small subunit ribosomal RNA
Source: RNAcentral